Molecule: long non-coding RNA, 3527 nt
Filed under: Volvox carteri
Lineage: Eukaryota; Viridiplantae; Chlorophyta; Chlorophyceae; Chlamydomonadales; Volvocaceae
Description: long non-coding RNA (VCAR_LNC003571)
Rfam family: tRNA (bases 3173-3244)
Source: RNAcentral
AAGGUCCCCAGAUCGAAACUGGGUGGCGUCAAAACAGGCACUCACUGGACGACUCACUGGAUGACUCUUGCUAGAGAAACGGGCGCUGCAUCUGGCGAGGUGCAUGUCAGUGGGACAGCCGCAUUUUGUACCUGGAAGUGACAAAUUCAGUGCCAAGCACAUCGACUUGUUGUGCGCGCGGGGGUUAGGAUCCAAACAGAAUGGUUACUGAACGUCAUUCAGGCCAUUUGUAGUCAAGACUGUAUCUUGGAGCCUGUUAGUACACUUGAAUAAUCCUACUACCAGCCUCCUCCACAAGGCGAGUCAUCAGGCAAAGCUGCUGGGUUCGCACCUUCUGGGGACACUCCUUCACUGCUUGAUCAGGCUCCCGGGGCUGGAUGGGGUUCCUGGCCUCGCCGGCCGGCAUCCUUGGUCCGGGGGGAAGAAUGGCUGCUCUCUUGCAGAUGGCAGGGUGUUUCGAUGUGUUUGAUAAUGACCAUGUCUGGAGAGCGGUCCCGAGGCUUCGGUGGUGCUGUCCGUGGAUCCCUAGCUGACAUGUUCUGCGCGUUGGCCUGCUGCAGAGCGGCCUGGUCUACGUUGCCGCUCAGAAGCUCCUCAGCGGCUUCAAGAUCGUGUUGAGUGGCUGGCGGCCACUGACCCGAUCCCCCGUCGCCGGCCGGCUGCGUUGAUGGCUCCUGUGUUGACCAAAUAUAGUCUCCCGUUGUCUUUUCAUUCUUACCCUCAUGGUUCGUUUAUGCUGGGACUGCUCGUGGUUUAUCCUUGGAGAGCGACGGUCCCUCGUGGAUGGCGUCGAUGAUCCUUGAAAGUAGUCGGUGAGGUCUUGGAAUGAUCAUUAGUUAGGGUCGUUCCCUCCCUCCCACCCUCAGUGUCCCUCGUUUACAAGUUGCAGGCUCGGCCCAGUUUGAGACCUGAUGAUUGGGGAGCUCACUCGGAUCGGCAGACACAGCACCUGUGUGUGUCCUUUAUGUGGUGUACGAUGCGUACCGUUAUGUAUUGUUUGUAUAGUUGUCGGCCGUACAUCAACAAGUACGACACCAUGGUGUAGUGGAAUCACAUCUGUCUAACACACAGAAGGACCCCAGAUUGAAACUGGGUGGCGUCAAAACAGGCACUCACUGGACGACUCACUAGAUGACACUUGCUAGAGAAACGGGCGCUGCAUCUGGCGAGGUGCAUGUCAGUGGGACAGCCGCAUUUUGUACCUGGAAGUGACAAAUUCAGUGCCAAGCACAUCGACUUGUUGUGCGCGCGGGGGUUAGGAUCCAAACAGAAUGGUUACUGAACGUCAUUCAGGCCAUUUGUAGUCAAGACUGUAUCUUGGAGCCUGUUAGUACACUUGAAUAAUCCUACUACCAGCCUCCUCCACAAGGCGAGUCAUCAGGCAAAGCUGCUGGGUUCGCACCUUCUGGGGACACUCCUUCACUGCUUGAUCAGGCUCCCGGGGCUGGAUGGGGUUCCUGGCCUCGCCGGCCGGCAUCCUUGGUCCGGGGGGAAGAAUGGCUGCUCUCUUGCAGAUGGCAGGGUGUUUCGAUGUGUUUGAUGAUGACCAUGUCUGGAGAGCGGUCCCGAGGCUUCGGUGGUGCUGUCCGUGGAUCCCUAGCUGACAUGUUCGGCGCGUUGGCCUGCUGCAGAGCGGCCUGGUCUACGUUGCCGCUCAAAAGCUCCUCAGCGGCUUCAAGAUCGUGUUGAGUGGCUGGCGGCCACUGACCCGAUCCCCCGUCGCCGGCCGGCUGCGUUGAUGGCUCCUGUGUUGACCAAAUAUAGUCUCCCGUUGUCUUUUCGUUCUUACCCUCAUGGUUCGUUUAUGCUGGGACUGCUCGUGGUUUAUCCUUGGAGAGCGGCGGUCCCUUGUGGAUGGCGUCGAUGAUCCUUGAAAGUAGUCGGUGAGGUCUUGGAAUGAUCAUUAGUUAGGGUCGUUCCCUCCCUCCCACCCUCAGUGUCCCUCGUUUACAAGUUGCAGGCUCGGCCCAGUUUGAGACCUGAUGAUUGGGGAGCUCACUCGGAUCGGCAGACACAGCACCUGUGUGUGUCCUUUAUGUGGUGUACGAUGCGUACCGUUAUGUAUUGUACGUAUAGUUGUCGGCCGUACAUCAACAAGUACGACACCAUGGUGUAGUGGAAUCACAUCUGUCUAACACACAGAAGGUCCCCAGAUUGAAACUGGGUGGCGUCAAAACAGGCACUCACUGGACGACUCACUGGAUGACACUUGCUAGAGAAACGGGCGCUGCAUCUGGCGAGGUGCAUGUCAGUGGGACAGCCGCAUUUUGUACCUGGAAGUGACAAAUUCAGUGCCAAGCACAUCGACUUGUUGUGCGCGCGGGGGUUAGGAUCCAAACAGAAUGGUUACUGAACGUCAUUCAGGCCAUUUGUAGUCAAGACUGUAUCUUGGAGCCUGUUAGUACACUUGAAUAAUCCUACUACCAGCCUCCUCCACAAGGCGAGUCAUCAGGCAAAGCUGCUGGGUUCGCACCUUCUGGGGACACUCCUUCACUGCUUGAUCAGGCUCCCGGGGCUGGAUGGGGUUCCUGGCCUCGCCGGCCGGCAUCCUUGGUCCGGGGGGAAGAAUGGCUGCUCUCUUGCAGAUGGCAGGGUGUUUCGAUGUGUUUGAUGAUGACCAUGUCUGGAGAGCGGUCCCGAGGCUUCGGUGGUGCUGUCCGUGGAUCCCUAGCUGACAUGUUCGGCGCGUUGGCCUGCUGCAGAGCGGCCUGGUCUACGUUGCCGCUCAAAAGCUCCUCAGCGGCUUCAAGAUCGUGUUGAGUGGCUGGCGGCCACUGACCCGAUCCCCCGUCGCCGGCCGGCUGCGUUGAUGGCUCCUGUGUUGACCAAAUAUAGUCUCCCGUUGUCUUUUCGUUCUUACCCUCAUGGUUCGUUUAUGCUGGGACUGCUCGUGGUUUAUCCUUGGAGAGCGGCGGUCCCUCGUGGAUGGCGUCGAUGAUCCUUGAAAGUAGUCGGUGAGGUCUUGGAAUGACCAUUAGUUAGGGUCGUUCCCUCCCUCCCACCCUCAGUGUCCCUCGUUUACAAGUUGCAGGCUCGGCCCAGUUUGAGACCUGAUGAUUGGGGAGCUCACUCGGAUCGGCAGACACAGCACCUGUGUGUGUCCUUUAUGUGGUGUACGAUGCGUACCGUUAUGUAUUGUACGUAUAGUUGUCGGCCGUACAUCAACAAGUACGACACCAUGGUGUAGUGGAAUCACAUCUGUCUAACACACAGAAGGACCCCAGAUCGAAACUGGGUGGCGUCAAAACAGGCACUCACUGGACGACUUACUGGAUGACACUUGCUAGAGAAACGGGCGCUGCAUCUGGCGAGGUGCAUGUCAGUGGGACAGCCGCAUUUUGUACCUGGAAGUGACAAAUUGUCGUGCGCGCGGGGGUUAGGAUCCAAACAGAAUGGUUACUGAACGUCAUUCAGGCCAUUUGUAGUCAAGACUGUAUCUUGGAGCCUGUUAGUACACUUGAAUAAUCCUACUACCAGCCUCCUCCACAAGGCGAGUCAUCAGGCAAAGCUGCUGGGUUCGCACCUUC